UGCAUAUCAAUAAGCGGAGGAAAAGAAACCAACAGGGAUUGCCCUAGUAAUGGCGAAUGAACAGGCAAAAGCUCAGAUUUGAAACCUUCGGGAUUGUAGUCUGGAGACCUAGAUUUGGAAGCCGACCAAGUCUUCUGGAAUGGAGCGCCAUGGAGGGUGACAGCCCCGUAGCGGCACCGCUGUAAAUCUAGGUCAACGAGUCGAGUUGUUUGGGAAUGCAGCUCUAAGUGGGUGGUAUGCUCCAUCUAAAGCUAAAUAUUGGCGAGAGACCGAUAGCGAACAAGUACUGUGAAGGAAAGAUGAAAAGAACUUUGAAAAGAGAGUGAAAUAGUACGUGAAAUUGUUGAAAUGGAAGGCAAUGAGGCGCGAUUGAAGCGGGCGUUUGCGGGCAGGACAAAAGCGCAGGCAGCUUCGGCAACGCCUGCGUGCAUACUGCCACGCGGACUACCGCUUCUAACAACGCCUUACUGCACCCGUCUUGAAACACGGACCA
Molecule: ribosomal RNA, 493 nt
Filed under: [Candida] sp. CBS 6396
Lineage: Eukaryota; Fungi; Ascomycota; Saccharomycetes; Saccharomycetales
Description: LSU rRNA
Rfam family: Eukaryotic large subunit ribosomal RNA
Source: RNAcentral